Molecule: unclassified non-coding RNA, 702 nt
Filed under: Hevea brasiliensis (rubber tree)
Lineage: Eukaryota; Viridiplantae; Streptophyta; Magnoliopsida; Malpighiales; Euphorbiaceae
Source: RNAcentral
CAUGUUAGGUGCUCCUGGCAUACCUCCAUGGAUCUCAAAAUUUUCUCCAUCUCAGCCUCUUUAGAUGGUUUCGGCACAAAUGGUUCUCCAGGAAUCCUAUCCUGAAACAGGAAAAAAAAUUACUACAAAUUGAACUCGAGCUUUAUCAUUCUUAAAUUGAAUGUGCAUACAGAAGCAAUAUCAAUAAAUAUGGUCAUAUAAGGCUAUGAGUGUUCUGCUCUUUAAGAAGAAAAUGAUAUCUUCAAGUUUACAUGAUAUUUAAUAUUAUAUGACAGAGAGUGACUAGAAAAGUGCAACAUAUGGGCAGAAGAACAUUUGAAGGUAAAGGAAAAAUAAAAAAUCAUUUGAUGAAAAAAGUAGAUGCACAGAGAAAUUAUCAUGGUUCAUUUUUUUUAAAACUAACAUUUAACUAAGAAUAAUUGUCACAGGGGAACAAACAUUUAAAAUGAAAAAAUGUUACAAAACAACUAUCCCAAAGUUGCCAAGAUAUUGUUUGAAGUCCUUGAUCAUACCUUACGGUGAAAUAACAUCACAGGACUCAUUAGAAAUUCUGGCAACAAUAUUAAUGAUUGUUCAACUGUUCAUGUGAUGCCAUAUGGCUUGGGACAACCCUAAUAUAUUACCAUCAGGACGAGAGGACAUAAUAAUUAGGGAAUGAGGCUUAAAUUAAUUAAAAUGAUAAAAUAAAAUAAAAUAAAAAAG